Molecule: ribosomal RNA, 253 nt
Filed under: uncultured bacterium
Lineage: Bacteria
Description: partial 16S ribosomal RNA
Rfam family: Bacterial small subunit ribosomal RNA
Source: RNAcentral
UACGUAGGGUGCAAGCGUUGUCCGGAAUUAUUGGGCGUAAAGAGCUCGUAGGCGGUUUGUUGCGUCGGCUGUGAAAUCCCGAGGCUCAACCUCGGGUCUGCAGUCGAUACGAGCAAACUAGAGUGUUGCAGGGGAGACUGGAAUUCCUGGUGUAGCGGUGAAAUGCGUAGAUAUCGAGAGGAACACCAGUGGCGAAGGCGAGUCCCUGGACAACUACUGACACUGAGGCACGAAAGCUAGGGGAGCAAACAGG